Molecule: transfer RNA, 66 nt
Filed under: Cystophora cristata (hooded seal)
Lineage: Eukaryota; Metazoa; Chordata; Mammalia; Carnivora; Phocidae
Description: tRNA-Pro
Rfam family: tRNA
About the family: Transfer RNA (tRNA) molecules are approximately 80 nucleotides in length. Their secondary structure includes four short double-helical elements and three loops (D, anti-codon, and T loops).
Source: RNAcentral
CAGGGAAUAGUUUAAGUAGAAUGUCAGCUUUGGGUGCUGAUGGUGGGGUUGUUAUCUCUUCCUUGA